CUGAUGCUAGCUCCCUGUUAGCUGUUAGCUGGACUACGAUCGUAUUAAAGGUUGAAGGAGCGGAUGAUUUAUUAUUAGCGUCUCUUUUCUCGUCUGUACUUGUUCAUGUACAACAGUCACAGGUCUGCUAGUCGUCGCUGGUGCUGACCUGUUUGUUGACUUUAAGCUCUCACAACAAGGCAAAAGAUAUAAAAAGUAAUGAGGACAUAAUGAAGUAUAAAAGCUUAACUGUAACUCUCAGCUAAAUACAUUGACUCAAAUACUUCACUUCAGGACACAUUUAAGGGCAGAGCAACGUGUAGCGUGUGUACAGUAAAUACAGCCGACUGUUAGCUGAGAAUAAAUCAAGGCGACAACGAUAACCUCCAUCUUUAAUUUGAGGGUGUUCACAUCACAUCAGAAAAAACAGCAGGAACAGUCUCUCAUGUUUCUGUUCUGUCAUGUUUCUGUGUAACAGAGAUGUCGGAUACUUCAGAGAAAAAGUGGAAACCAACUCUGACUAAAAUCCUGGAGGAGCUGGACAACAAACAGUACAGAAAGACAAUGGAAUAUUUGGACAAAGUUCCCAAAGGUCAGAAGAAAGGCAGAUCUUUUGCAACGAUGGCCCAAAAAAUAAUUGAGCGCUACGGACAUGACGAAUCAAUUUCUACAAUACAUAAAAUCAUGGAAGAGAUACCGAGGAAGGAUCCGAGGAUGCAGGAACUGUUGGGCCCCUUUGUUGAAGAACUGAGGAGCAAAAAUGAAAAAGGGAGAAAAGGAAAGAAGAGAAAGUGUGAUCCAGUGGAGAAGGAAGACAAUCCUCCAGCAGGUAGGUUACCAGACAACACAUCACUCAGAGAAGUGUUUCACUGCUGGCUCGUGCAUGAAACUGGUUCGUCUCUGCAGCAGAAAGACACUAAUAUGUUUGAAAGUAGUGUGAUGAACAGAGAUAAAAGGCUGUGGUAUCCCUUCUGCUCCAAAGACAGAAAACCUACAACAACCAGAAUGCACUGCACCAGACCAAAAUAAAUAAUAUAUUUCCACUGAUGGAUGGUGCUGCUUCGUUUUGCUCCGUAGUUGACUGGCUGCUAACAAACACCAUUGAAGCUAAAACUCACUGAACAGGAUUCAGAAUCAGAAUCAGAAAUCCUUUAAUGUCCCGCAGACGGGGAAAUUUGUUUGUCGCAGCAGUGGAAUAUUAUUGUG
RNAcentral lists this long non-coding RNA (1185 nucleotides) under Sparus aurata (gilthead seabream). RNAcentral's name for it is "lncRNA (ENSSAUG00010008640.1)". Lineage: Eukaryota; Metazoa; Chordata; Actinopteri; Spariformes; Sparidae. The record is from RNAcentral.